Molecule: ribosomal RNA, 495 nt
Filed under: uncultured bacterium
Lineage: Bacteria
Description: partial 16S ribosomal RNA
Rfam family: Bacterial small subunit ribosomal RNA
Source: RNAcentral
GACGAACGCUGGCGGCGUGCCUAAUACAUGCCAGUAGAACGCUGAAGGAGGAGCUUGCUCUUCUGGAUGAGUUGCGAACGGGUGAGUAACGCGUAGGUAACCUGCCUGGUAGCGGGGGAUAACUAUUGGAAACGAUAGCUAAUACCGCAUAACAGUAGAUGUUGCAUGACAUUUACUUAAAAGGUGCAAUUGCAUCACUACCAGAUGGACCUGCGUUGUAUUAGCUAGUUGGUGGGGUAACGGCUCACCAAGGCGACGAUACAUAGCCGACCUGAGAGGGUGAUCGGCCACACUGGGACUGAGACACGGCCCAGACUCCUACGGGAGGCAGCAGUAGGGAAUCUUCGGCAAUGGACGGAAGUCUGACCGAGCAACGCCGCGUGAGUGAAGAAGGUUUUCGGAUCGUAAAGCUCUGUUGUGAGAGAAGAACGAGUGUGAGAGUGGAAAGUUCACACUGUGACGGUAUCUUACCAGAAAGGGACGGCUAACUACGUG